GCGGCGUGCUAUACAUGCAGUCGAACGCACUCUCGUUAGAUUGAAGAAGCUUGCUUCUGAUUGAUAACAUUUGAGUGAGUGGCGGACGGGUGAGUAACACGUGGGUAACCUGCCCUAAAGUGGGGGAUAACAUUUGGAAACAGAUGCUAAUACCGCAUAAAACCUAGCACCGCAUGGUGCAAGGUUGAAAGAUGGUUUCGGCUAUCACUUUAGGAUGGACCCGCGGUGCAUUAGUUAGUUGGUGAGGUAAAGGCUCACCAAGACCGUGAUGCAUAGCCGACCUGAGAGGGUAAUCGGCCACACUGGGACUGAGACACGGCCCAGACUCCUACGGGAGGCAGCAGUAGGGAAUCUUCCACAAUGGACGAAAGUCUGAUGGAGCAACGCCGCGUGAGUGAAGAAGGUUUUCGGAUCGUAAAACUCUGUUGUUGGAGAAGAACGUAUUUGAUAGUAACUGAUCAGGUAGUGACGGUAUCCAACCAGAAAGCCACGGCUAACUACGUGCCAGCAGCCGCGGUAAUACGUAGGUGGCAAGCGUUGUCCGGAUUUAUUGGGCGUAAAGCGAGCGCAGGCGGUUUCUUAAGUCUGAUGUGAAAGCCUUCGGCUCAACCGAAGAAGUGCAUCGGAAACUGGGAAACUUGAGUGCAGAAGAGGACAGUGGAACUCCAUGUGUAGCGGUGAAAUGCGUAGAUAUAUGGAAGAACACCAGUGGCGAAGGCGGCUGUCUGGUCUGUAACUGACGCUGAGGCUCGAAAGCAUGGGUAGCAAACAGGAUUAGAUACCCUGGUAGUCCAUGCCGUAAACGAUGAGUGCUAGGUGUUGGAGGGUUUCCGCCCUUCAGUGCCGCAGCUAACGCAUUAAGCACUCCGCCUGGGGAGUACGACCGCAAGGUUGAAACUCAAAGGAAUUGACGGGGGCCCGCACAAGCGGUGGAGCAUGUGGUUUAAUUCGAAGCAACGCGAAGAACCUUACCAGGUCUUGACAUCCUUUGACCACUCUAGAGAUAGAGCUUU
Molecule: ribosomal RNA, 1013 nt
Filed under: Latilactobacillus curvatus
Lineage: Bacteria; Bacillati; Bacillota; Bacilli; Lactobacillales; Lactobacillaceae
Description: bacterial SSU rRNA
Rfam family: Bacterial small subunit ribosomal RNA
Source: RNAcentral